ACAUAAGAGUCUCCCUUUCUCUAUUAAGGCUUCGUUUGGGAAUGCGUGGAGAUUGCGUUACGUACGGCGAGAAACGACGAUAGUAAAAUACCAUGUUUAUUUUCGUACAUAAUAUUGCGUUCCGCAUAUCGCGAUAAGUCAGUUAUGAUAUAUUUUCUGUGGUCCUACUGGAGAACACAGAAACAUGCGAUGAGUCAGUUAUGAUAUAUUUUCUAUGGUCCUACUGGAGAACGCAGAAACAUAUCCCUGUAUUUUAUUUAAUAACGUUAGAUAGAUCUCAAUACCAAAUAAAGCCUAAAUGAAAAUGAGAACCACAGUUGAGAGAUUCUCAAAAACAUAAUUUUGUCAAAUUGAUUU
RNAcentral lists this long non-coding RNA (357 nucleotides) under Ananas comosus (pineapple). RNAcentral's name for it is "long non-coding RNA (ACOM_LNC019060)". The record is from RNAcentral. Lineage: Eukaryota; Viridiplantae; Streptophyta; Magnoliopsida; Poales; Bromeliaceae.